UUUGAACGCUGGCGGCAUGCCUUACACAAGCAAGUCGAACGGUAACAGGUCUUCGGAUGCUGACGAGUGGCGAACGGGUGAGUAAUACAUCGGAACGUGCCUAGUAGUGGGGGAUAACUACUCGAAAGAGUGGCUAAUACCGCAUGAGAUCUACGGAUGAAAGCAGGGGAUCGCAAGACCUUGUGCUACUAGAGCGGCCGAUGGCAGAUUAGGUAGUUGGUGGGAUAAAAGCUUACCAAGCCGACGAUCUGUAGCUGGUCUGAGAGGACGAUCAGCCAAACUGGGACUGAGACACGGCCCAGACUCCUACGGGAGGCAGCGGUGGGGAAUUUUGGACAAUGGGCGAAAGCCUGAUCCAGCAAUGCCGCGUGCAGGAUGAAGGCCUUCGGGCUGUAAACUGCUUUUGUACGGAACGAAAAGCCCCGGGUUAAUACCCUGGGGUCAUGACGGUACCGUAAGAAUAAGCACCGGCUAACUACGUGCCAGCAGCCGCCGUAA
RNAcentral lists this ribosomal RNA (498 nucleotides) under uncultured bacterium. RNAcentral's name for it is "partial 16S ribosomal RNA". It matches the Rfam family "Bacterial small subunit ribosomal RNA", at positions 30 to 523 of the family's 1533-position model. The record is from RNAcentral.